AGGUAAGCUACUAAGAGCAAAUGGUGGAUGCCUUGGCUAGUAGAGGCGAUGAAAGACGUGCUAGGCUGCGAUAAGUCUCGGGGAGCCGUCAAGGGGCUUUGAUCCGGGAAUUUCUGAAUGGGGCAACCCAGUAUAUAGUGAUAUAUACUACCGCAAUGCGGAGCGAACGUUGGGAAUUGAAACAUCUUAGUACCAACAGGAAGAGAAAUCAAACGAGAUUACGCUAGUAGCGGCGAGCGAAAGCGUAAGAGGGCAAACCACUAGCUUGCUAGUGGGGUUGUAGGACUGCAAUAUAGACUUAAACAAUCUAAUAGAAUAAGCUGGAAAGCUUAAGCAUAGAGGGUGAUACUCCCGUAUAUGAAAGUGCGUUUAUACUUAGCAGUAUCCUGAGUAGGGCGGGACACGUGUAAUCCUGUCUGAAGCUGGGUAGACCACUAUCCAACCCUAAAUACUACUACUAGACCGAUAGUGCACAAGUACCGUGAGGGAAAGGUGAAAAGAACUGAGGUGAUCAGAGUGAAAUAGAACCUGAAACCAUUUGCUUACAAUCAUUCAGAGCCCUAUGAUUUAUCAGGGUGAUGGACUGCCUUUUGCAUAAUGAGCCUGCGAGUUGUGGUGUCUGGCGAGGUUAAGGAAACCCGGAGCCGUAGCGAAAGCGAGUCUUAAUAGGGCGUAUAGUCAGAUGCUGCAGACCCGAAACGAUGUGAUCUAUCCAUGAGCAGGUUGAAACUGGUGUAAGAGCCAGCGGAGGACCGAACAGACGGCCGUUGAAAAGGCUCCUGAUGACUUGUGGAUAGGGGUGAAAGGCCAAUCAAACAUCGUGAUAGCUGGUUCUCUCCGAAAUAUAUUUAGGUAUAGCGUUGUGUAGUAACUUUGUGAGGUAGAGCACUGAAUGGGCUAGGGCAUACACCAAUGUACCAAACCCUAUCAAACUCCGAAUGCGCAAAGUGUAAUCACAGCAGUCAGGCGGCGAGUGAUAAAAUCCGUCGUCAAGAGGGGAACAACCCAGACUAACAGCUAAGGUCCCUAAAUCUCAUUUAAGUGGAAAACGAUGUGAAGUUACUUUAACAACCAGGAGGUUGGCUUAGAAGCAGCCAUCCUUUAAAGAAAGCGUAAUAGCUCACUGGUCUAGUGAUUUCGCGCGGAAAAUAUAACGGGGCUAAAAUGAGUACCGAAGCUUUAGAGCGGAUAGAAGUGAGCAUGCAGGCAUGAGUAGCGAUAAAAGGGGUGAGAAUCCCCUUCGCCGUAAACCCAAGGUUUCCUACGCGAUGCUCGUCAUCGUAGGGUUAGUCGGGUCCUAAGCAAAGUCCAAAAGGGGUAUGCGAUGGAAAAUCGGUUAAUAUUCCGAUACCAAUAUUAGUGUGCGAUGGAAGGACGCUUAAAGUUAGUGGAGCUAGCGGAUGGAAGUGCUAGUCUAAGGAUGUAGAUUAAGUGGUAGGCAAAUCCGCCACUUUUUAUUCGAGAUCUUAAAGGCUCUCCAAAGUCUUCGGAUAGCGGGGAGAAUCCAUGAUACUAUCGAGCCAAGAAAAGUUUCUAAGUUUAGCUAAUAUUGCCCGUACCGUAAACCGACACAGGUGGGUGGGAUGAGUAUUCUAAGGCGCGUGGAAGAACUCUCUUUAAGGAACUCUGCAAAAUAGCACCGUAUCUUCGGUAUAAGGUGUGCCUAACUUUGUAUUAAGAUUUACUCCCAAAGCAAAGAAGGUUACAACAAAGAGUCCCUCCCGACUGUUUACCAUAAACACAGCACUCUGCUAACUCGUAAGAGGAUGUAUAGGGUGUGACGCCUGCCCGGUGCUCGAAGGUUAAUUGAUGGGGUUAGCAUUAGCGAAGCUCUUGAUCGAAGCCCGAGUAAACGGCGGCCGUAACUAUAACGGUCCUAAGGUAGCGAAAUUCCUUGUCGGUUAAAUACCGACCUGCAUGAAUGGCGUAACGAGAUGGGAGCUGUCUCAAAGAGGGAUCCAGUGAAAUUGUAGUGGAGGUGAAAAUUCCUCCUACCCGCGGCAAGACGGAGAGACCCCGUGGACCUUUACUACAGCUUGACACUGCUAUUUGGAUAAAGAUGCGCAGGAUAGGUGGGAGGCUUUGAUCCAUAGACUCCGGUUUAUGGUGAGCCAUUGUUGAGAUACCACUCUUCUUUAUUUGAGUAGCUAACUAGCUUGCGUUAUCCGCAAGUAGGACAAUGUCUGGUGGGUAGUUUGACUGGGGCGGUCGCCUCCCAAAAUGUAACGGAGGCUUACAAAGGUUGGCUCAGAACGGUUGGAAAUCGUUCGUAGAGUAUAAAGGCAUAAGCCAGCUUAACUGCAAGACAUACACGUCAAGCAGAGACGAAAGUCGGUCUUAGUGAUCCGGUGGUUCUGUGUGGAAGGGCCAUCGCUCAAAGGAUAAAAGGUACCCCGGGGAUAACAGGCUGAUCUCCCCCAAGAGCUCACAUCGACGGGGAGGUUUGGCACCUCGAUGUCGGCUCAUCGCAUCCUGGGGCUGGAGCAGGUCCCAAGGGUAUGGCUGUUCGCCAUUUAAAGCGGUACGCGAGCUGGGUUCAGAACGUCGUGAGACAGUUCGGUCCCUAUCUGCCGUGGGCGUAAGAAGAUUGAGGAGAGUUGACCCUAGUACGAGAGGACCGGGUUGAACCAGCCACUGGUGUAUCAGUUGUUCUGCCAAGAGCAUCGCUGAGUAGCUAAGCUGGGAUGUGAUAAGAGCUGAAAGCAUCUAAGCUCGAAGCCAACUCCAAGAUGAAUCUUCUUUUAAGAGCUCUAGUAGACUACUAGUUUGAUAGGCUGGGUGUGUAAGUGAUGAGAGUCAUUUAGCUGACCAGUACUAAUAGCUCGUUUGCUUAUCUUUAU
RNAcentral lists this ribosomal RNA (2840 nucleotides) under Campylobacter hyointestinalis. RNAcentral describes it as "23S ribosomal RNA". It matches the Rfam family "Bacterial large subunit ribosomal RNA". The record is from RNAcentral. Lineage: Bacteria; Pseudomonadati; Campylobacterota; Epsilonproteobacteria; Campylobacterales; Campylobacteraceae.